ACGGGAGGCAGCAGUGGGGAAUAUUGGGCAAUGGGCGAAAGCCUGACCCAGCGACGCCGCGUGAGGGAAGAAGGUCUUCGGAUUGUAAACCUUAAUAGCAGGGAAGAAAAGAAUGACGGUACCUGUGGAGAAGCCACGGCUAACUACGUGCCAGCAGCCGCGGUAAUACGUAGGUGGCAAGCGUUAUCCGGAUUUACUGGGUGUAAAGGGUGUGUAGGCGGGAUGUCAAGUCAGAUGUGAAAUGUACGGGCUCAACCCGUGAAUUGCAUUUGAAACUGACGUUCUUGAGUGUCGGAGGGGUAAAUGGAAUUCCCGGUGUAGCGGUGAAAUGCUUAGAUAUCGGGAGGAACAUCGGUGGCGAAGGCGAUUUACUGGACGACAACUGACGCUGAAACACGAAAGCGUGGGGAGCAAACAGGAUUAGAUACCCUGGUA
RNAcentral lists this ribosomal RNA (435 nucleotides) under uncultured Oscillospiraceae bacterium. RNAcentral describes it as "bacterial SSU rRNA". It matches the Rfam family "Bacterial small subunit ribosomal RNA", at positions 341 to 792 of the family's 1533-position model. Lineage: Bacteria; Bacillati; Bacillota; Clostridia; Eubacteriales; Oscillospiraceae. The record is from RNAcentral.